AUACAGAGGGUGCGAGCGUUAAUGGGAAUUACUGGGCGUAAAGCGCGCGUAGGCGGCUGAUUAAGUCAGAUGUGAAAUCCCAGGGCUCAACCUUGGAACUGCAUCUGAUACUGGUCAGCUAGAGUUUAGGAGAGGGAAGUAGAAUUUCAGGUGUAGCGGUGAAAUGCAUAGAUAUCUGAAGGAAUACCAGUGGCGAAGGCGGCUUCCUGGCCUAAAACUGACGCUGAGGUGCGAAAGCGUGGGUAGCAAACGGGAUUAGAAACCCUAGUAGUCC
Molecule: ribosomal RNA, 274 nt
Filed under: uncultured bacterium
Lineage: Bacteria
Description: partial 16S ribosomal RNA
Rfam family: Bacterial small subunit ribosomal RNA
Source: RNAcentral